This 156-nucleotide unclassified non-coding RNA is filed under the name uncultured Xylariales. RNAcentral's name for it is "sequence contains ITS2". The record is from RNAcentral. Lineage: Eukaryota; Fungi; Ascomycota; Sordariomycetes; Xylariales.
CAACCCUCGAGCCCCUGUGGCCCGGCGUUGGGGAUCUGCCACGGCAGGCCCCUAAAACCAGUGGCGGACCCGAAGGGCCCUCUCCUUUGCGCAGUAGCAUUCGCCUCGCAUCGGGAGUCCUCGGCGUCCUGCCUCUAAACCCCCCAAACUUUUACA